UCCGCUGUUUUCCCCUCAUAACAAUUAAGUAAAUAAGAUUUCAGCAACGACAGACCACGUCUCCCUGUUUCAUCCUUUCCCCUGUAUUAAAGAGUGUACUAACAGUUCUUACCUGACUGGAAGGUGAUCUCGCUGAACAACAUCCAGGCAUCAGCAAAGUAGAACUGGCACUUGAUGGCGCUGGCCAUGUGAUUGAGCAGGUUGACCGUGACGAAUCGGGCGCUGAGGUUCUUCUCAUCCACCACAGGGCUGAAGGAGAGCGGCGAGGCCUCCCAGUCUGCUUCGGAGCGGAAGUAACACACCACCUGGCGGAAGACCUUGACGUGCCAGACAAGGAAGCCUGCCUGUGUCAUGGAGGACAUUAUUCACCACGCCAUAAUCCAAACACUACUGUCAACAAAAGACUGAUUGGUUCAUUCUGGUUUUUAAACUUCAUAAGCACAGUUGACUCAGUCAUUCCCAUGAGGUAUUGCCUAACAGUAAACCACCAUGACCCACUCACCACCGUCUGUCUCUUUGCUUUCACCAUGGUGACCAGGCAACAACAAGGUGAGGGGAAAAAGUACUGACGGAGGAUGAUAGCAAUGAUGAAGCAAUGUGGUGGUGUUUGAAAAAGGAAGGAGGAAAGAAUAAUGAAACACACACACACCUGUGGAUGACAGCUCCAUCAUAGACAGAGUCAUUUAAGUAAACAGGGUAAGCAGGCAAGUUCAUCUGUUCUCCCACUGGAGCGUUGUAUGACACAAGACCAUCUGUAAGGCAAAGAACAUUCAUUUUUUAGAUGUUGUGCGAGUCCAUCAUUCAAAACUCAAGAAAAGCAUGAUUCAAAAAACACAUACGUUUUUGUCAAAUCGUAAUUGAGAUUUUUAAGCAGUCAAUACUUAAAAAAUUACACACAAGGCAUGGGUAGAAUGAAGUGCAGAUGCAGAAUAUGCAGCAUGUGAAAUGUUUUAUUAAAGGGCCUGGUAAUGCUUAAA
Molecule: long non-coding RNA, 977 nt
Organism: Dicentrarchus labrax (European seabass)
Lineage: Eukaryota; Metazoa; Chordata; Actinopteri; Moronidae
Exons: 3
Source: RefSeq, a predicted model, not a curated record